CUACGGGGUGCAGCAGGCGAGAAAACUUUGCAAUGUGCGAAAGCACGACAAGGUUAAUCCGAGUGGUUUGUGCUAAACGAACCUUUUGACAGUCCUAGAAACACUGUUGAAUAAGGGGUGGGCAAGUUCUGGUGAUCAGCCGCCGCGGUAAAACCAGCACCAUCAAGUGGUCAGGAUGAUUAUUGGGCCUAAAGCAUCCGUAGCCGGCUCUGUAAGUUUUCGGUUAAAUCUGUACGCUCAACGUACAGGCUGCCGGGAAUACUGCAGAGCUAGGGAGUGGGAGAGGUAGACGGUACUCGGUAGGAAGGGGUAAAAUCCUUUGAUCUAUUGAUGACCACCUGUGGCGAAGGCGGUCUACCAGAACACGUCCGACGGUGAGGGAUGAAAGCUGGGGGAGCAAACCGGAUUAGAUACCCGCGUAGUC
RNAcentral lists this ribosomal RNA (424 nucleotides) under uncultured archaeon. Its description in RNAcentral is "partial 16S ribosomal RNA". It matches the Rfam family "Archaeal small subunit ribosomal RNA", at positions 323 to 746 of the family's 1478-position model. The record is from RNAcentral.